GAUGAACGCUGGCGGCGUGCCUAAUACAUGCAAGUCGAGCGAACAGACGAGGAGCUUGCUCCUCUGACGUUAGCGGCGGACGGGUGAGUAACACGUGGAUAACCUACCUAUAAGACUGGGAUAACUUCGGGAAACCGGAGCUAAUACCGGAUAAUAUAUUAACCGCAUUGUUCAAUAGUGAAAGACGGUUUUGCUGUCACUUAUUGAUGGAUCCGCGCCGCAUUAGCUAGUUGGUAAGGUAACGGCUUACCAAGGCGACGAUGCGUAGCCGACCUGAGAGGGUGAUCGGCCACACUGGAACUGAGACACGGUCCAGACUCCUACGGGAGGCAGCAGUAGGGAAUCUUCCGCAAUGGGCGAAAGCCUGACGGAGCAACGCCGCGUGAGUGAUGAAGGUCUUCGGAUCGUAAAACUCUGUUAUUAGGGAAGAACAAAUGUGUAAGUAACUAUGCACGUCUUGACGGUACCUAAUCAGAAAGCCACGGCUAACUACGUG
This 496-nucleotide ribosomal RNA is filed under the name uncultured bacterium. Its description in RNAcentral is "partial 16S ribosomal RNA". It matches the Rfam family "Bacterial small subunit ribosomal RNA", at positions 28 to 507 of the family's 1533-position model. The record is from RNAcentral.